CUUGCUCUCUUGGCGGCGAGUGGCGGACGGGUGAGUAAUAUAUCGGAACGUGCCCAGUAGCGGGGGAUAACUACUCGAAAGAGUGGCUAAUACCGCAUACGCCCUACGGGGGAAAGGGGGGGAUCGCAAGACCUCUCACUAUUGGAGCGGCCGAUAUCGGAUUAGCUAGUUGGUGGGGUAAAGGCUCACCAAGGCAACGAUCCGUAGCUGGUUUGAGAGGACGACCAGCCACACUGGGACUGAGACACGGCCCAGACUCCUACGGGAGGCAGCAGUGGGGAAUUUUGGACAAUGGGGGAAACCCUGAUCCAGCCAUCCCGCGUGUAUGAUGAAGGCCUUCGGGUUGUAAAGUACUUUUGGCAGAGAAGAAAAGGUAUCCCCUAAUACGGGAUACUGCUGACGGUAUCUGCAGAAUAAGCACCGGCUAACUACGUGCCAGCAGCCGCGGUAAUACGUAGGGUGCAAGCGUUAAUCGGAAUUACUGGGCGUAAAGCGUGUGUAGGCGGUUCGGAAAGAAAGAUGUGAAAUCCCAGGGCUCAACCUUGGAACUGCAUUUUUAACUGCCGAGCUAGAGUAUGUCAGAGGGGGGUAGAAUUCCACGUGUAGCAGUGAAAUGCGUA
This 620-nucleotide ribosomal RNA is filed under the name Alcaligenes phenolicus. RNAcentral's name for it is "bacterial SSU rRNA". It matches the Rfam family "Bacterial small subunit ribosomal RNA", at positions 75 to 692 of the family's 1533-position model. Lineage: Bacteria; Pseudomonadati; Pseudomonadota; Betaproteobacteria; Burkholderiales; Alcaligenaceae. The record is from RNAcentral.